GAUCUGAAGUAGAAAGCCGUUCCAAGUGCUUCGAUUUUCAGAGGGAAUUCCUCGGGUCUUCGAUCUAACCUCUCUCUUUUGCUGCGCACCAACACGUACGCACCGCCCUCCGACUGAUCUCAACACCUCCGUGGAGCCGAAAGGGACAGCUCCAGGAGAAAAAGUGUGAGAGAGAAAGAGAGAGAGUCACGAACGGUCUCAGGCACGCGCGCGCCUGGCGCUAUAGGUCGACCUCGUCUCGAAAUUAGAAAGCCUAACCAACCAUGGCAGUAGAAGAGGAAGACAGAUGACUCGUCAUGUAAAGACAAGCACUGCAGACAGCAGGGAUCUGAAGACAUCUCAUUAAGUGCUUUCAGAGCAGCUGUCUCUUCAGGUGAUCUUACCCAAGUCAUAGUCAUAUCCCGUUAAAAGGAAUAAUGCCAAGUUUUCUGAUAAGCCACUGUUUUUGUUUACAGAAUACCGAGAAACGCGACGCAAUUCUGGCAGACACAGCGCAGGUCGUGUAAUGACGGGGAUGAUCCAGGGUACGUUUUUCCACGGCUGCUUCUCAGAAGACACGCUGCGUGAGGGGAACGUCUCCAUCAACUUACCAAGACUGUGAAUUUGAGGAACCAGCACCCCCCCCUGCUGUGUUCCAAACCAUCAGUCAUUCACAUGCAGCUCGUUCCUGGCGGGGCUUCAAACACGCUUCAGUCUCAGCGGAGGCUGAAAGGAGGCCCGACACGAAGAGGGGGAAAAAAGACUUGAGACCAGCCAGGAGGAGAUGCCCAUCCUUUGACCAGCCAUGCAGCUGUUGAAGAGCCUGCCAAUGACAGAAGGAUGAGAAAAUGAUCAUCCUUUAGUGUUGUUCGUGGUGUAGGUGUUGGUACCGUAUAUGAUCACCUCUCAACUCCAAUUGAUGUAAGACAUAACAUAACGAUGUUUUUUUCACAUGAUCGCUGACUGUUAUUGCAUUUUUUUUUUACCUCGUUGUCCGUUUCAGGUAUUUAAGUUCCCCAAACCAUCCGCUAGAUGGCGCCUACUUUCCCGUGUUCAGGAUUUAAGUAUUCUUUGAGAGGGCUGUCAUGCUGUCGACCUUGUGUACAUGUGCCGUACUGGUAGAGCAGUGCUCUAAGGAUGCGCAAUUGCACAGCUGUUUUAAUUGAUUGUUUUGUUUGGUGCAUUUCAGUCGUAAUCGAUUGCGCAUUUCCGCAAUAAACACAGUCAUUGACAAUUAUGUAAUGUAAACAUGAUGUAAACAUGUUUCUUUUUGACUUUGUAAAAAUAGUUUUACUCAUGUGUUUUGGGGGUUUUACUUUUACAAUUAAUGCCACGAAAAA
Molecule: long non-coding RNA, 1319 nt
Organism: Hypomesus transpacificus
Lineage: Eukaryota; Metazoa; Chordata; Actinopteri; Osmeriformes; Osmeridae
Exons: 4
Source: RefSeq, a predicted model, not a curated record